UACGGAGGAUGUGAGCGUUAUCCGGAUUUAUUGGGUUUAAAUGGUGCGUAGGCGGGAUGCCAAGUCAGCGGUAAAAAUGCGGUGCUCAACGCCGUCGAGCCGUUGAAACUGGCGUUCUUGAGUGGGCGAGAAGUAUGCGGAAUGCGUGGUGUAGCGGUGAAAUGCAUAGAUAUCACGCAGAACUCCGAUUGCGAAGGCAGCAUACCGGCGCCCUACUGACGCUGAGGCACGAAAGCGUGGGUAUCGAACAGG
Molecule: ribosomal RNA, 252 nt
Filed under: uncultured bacterium
Lineage: Bacteria
Description: partial 16S ribosomal RNA
Rfam family: Bacterial small subunit ribosomal RNA
Source: RNAcentral